This 468-nucleotide ribosomal RNA is filed under the name uncultured bacterium. RNAcentral describes it as "partial 16S ribosomal RNA". It matches the Rfam family "Bacterial small subunit ribosomal RNA", at positions 28 to 507 of the family's 1533-position model. The record is from RNAcentral.
GACGAACGCUGGCGGCGUGCUUAACACAUGCAAGUCGAACGGAACGUCCCUGCUUUUGUGCGGUGGUCGGCGGACGAACGGGUAAGUUACACGUAAGUAACCUGCCACUGACUGUGGGAUAACUUAAGAAAACUUGGGCUCAUACGGCAUAAGAUCUCCUGCUUCUGGGUGGGGGUGGGUAGGUUUCGGCGGUUGGUAAUGGACUCGCGGCCCAUCGGCUUGUUGCUGGGGUAGUGGCUUACCAUGGCUUUGCACGGUAGCACGCCUGGUCGGGUGACCGGCCACAUUGGGACUGAGAUACGGCCCAGACUCCUACGGGAGGCAGCAGUGGGGUAUAGUGCACAAUGGGCGGAAGCCUGGUGCAGCACCGCCGCGUGCGGGAUGACGGCCAGCGGGUUGUAAUCCGCUUCCCUCUGUGACGAAGUGUGAGUGACGGUAAUGGGUAAAGAAGCACCGGCUAACUACGUG